CGGGAGCAGAGCAUCUGAGCGGCCAGGCCUAGGGUUUGGGGCGGCGGCUGUGCGACCGGCGCGCGCGGCACUGCGGGUCUGUGGCACUGCGGCAGCCGGCAGGCAGGAUGCGGGCGGUGGCGCGUGACUGCGUGAGGCCGUGAGCACUGCCGGCCUGCCGCACCUAGCGCCCUGCGCGCCGGCUGCCGCCUGCGGGCUGCGGCCCUGCCCUGGCGCCCUGCGCAGCUGACAACCGAGCAGACAGCAGAGCAGGCGAGCAGGAGCAGCUGCAGCAUCCAAUUCUAGGGAGGCGGUCAGCGCAGCGGGCCAGGCACUUAGCCAUGUACGCACGCAUCCCUCCUAGCUAGCUACCUUUUCAUCGACCAUUAUUAGCUAGCUUAACUAGUUCGUUAACGAAAUUCGUUCUCCCCUUUUCAUUUUAGUAGCUAGACUGAUAACUAGCUGCAUCACAAGCAAGCUAGCAUCAGAGUUCUUCUGAUUUGUGCUUGUUAUUUGACCUUGAGAAAUGUUGAGAUGUGCCUAGGAAGCUACAUAAUCCAUAGUGAUCAGUGUGCAAUAUAAAGAGAUUUCGAACAAUAACAUCAUUUUAUCAAGUCGCGUGAAGUCAAGAAUCAAAUAAAAUUAUUCAAGACGUAGAAAUUGGGACUAAUUUGGAUGAAAAUGAAAACAAUCCAGAAUCACUAGAUGUUGGGACUGCACAAAAUAAUAUGGAAUCAACAGAUACUGGGAUUGUGACAGGUGUUAGUGGAAAUAUGCAAAGCAAUCCCAAUGUUAUGCUCAAUCAAAAUAAUAUUGUUGGUGAUCCUGAACUUCGAAAACGAAUUGAAGAAUUAGAUGUGAACAUUCGAGAUGUUGUUAGAAGAGAGUAUUUAUUGUUAGGCCCUUGUCAACCAAAAGGUCACAUAUUUCCCAAGAAGCAAAUAGGAGAUAGACAAAGGAGUUUUCAAGAAUCAUGGUUCAAAAAGCAUGAAUGGUUGGAAUAUAGUGUUGCUAAGGAUGCAGCCUUUUGCUUUUAUUGUUUCCUUUUCAAGCAACCAUGAAGGGAAAACUUUGGUGUUGAAAGCUACACUAGUGCCAGAGGGUAUAACAAUUGGAAGAAUGCGAUUAAGUCAUUUGAUGUACAUGUGGGUAACAUCAAUAGUGCUCAUAACAAGGAUAGAAGAUGUUGUGAGGAUUUUAAAAAUCAAAGAUAGAGUGUGCCACAUGUAAUAUCACAUGUGAGGAAGAAACAAGAAGAAGAAUAUUUGGGCCGUCUUAUUAUUGUAUUAGGUGUUAUCAGAUUUCUUCUAUUGCAAGGUCUAGCUUUUCGUGGUCAUGAUGAGUGUACUAGCUCAAACAAUAGAGGCAACUUCUUAGAAAUGCUUGAAUGGUACAAAAUGAAGGAUUCAGGUGCUACAAAAUUGUUUGGUAGCACUCCUAAAAAUUGUAUGUUGACUUCACUGGAGAUUCAAAAGAAAAUUUGUGAAGCUUGUGCAGAAGAGACCAAAAAAGCCAUCUUAGCUGAAAUUGGGGAUAUGAAAUUUGCUAUAAUCAUUGAUGAGGCCCGAGACACAUCUAUCAAGGAACAAAUGGCUUUGAUUUUGAGAUUUGUCAACAAUCAAGGUCAGGUGAUUCAGACAUUUCUUAGAAUUGAACAUGUUAUAGAUACAAGCUCAUCUUCACUCAAGCAAGCAUUAGAUGGUAUGCUCUCUAAACAUAACCUCUCUAUAAAAAACUUGCGAGGGCAAGGCUACGAUGGAUAAUCAAACAUGAGAGGGGAAUUCCAUGGGUUGCAAAGAAGGAUAUUGGAUGAGAAUCCCUCUGCUUUUUAUAUUCAUUAUUUUGCUCAUCAAUUACAAUUGGUAGUUGUUUUUGUGGCCAAGUGUUGCUCUUCAGUUAUGGAUUUCUUCAACUAUAUCAAUUUGAUUGUCAACAUAGUUAAUAUUUCUUGUAAGAGACAUGAUCAACUUGCCCAAUGUCACCAUGAUAAUCUUGUUCAAAGGCUAGAGAAUGAUGACAUGUUAAGGGGGAGAGGGAGAAACCAGGAAUCUAAUUUAACAAGAGCUGGGGAUACUAGAUGGGGAUCACACCAUAAAACCUUAUGUCAUUUUCAACUCAUGUGGAGUGUUGUCUUAGAGGUGUUAAAGAAUGUAUGUCAAGAUGCAACUAAUCUAGCACAAAGAACCACAACGACAGGUUUAUUAGAGAAAAUGGAGAGUUUUGAGUUUGUUCUUGUGUUACACCUCAUGAUCAAAGUUUUGGGUAAGACUAAUGCUCUGUUACAAUGCUUGCAAAAGAAAGAUCAAAAUAUUAUCCGUGCCAUAGGAUUGGUUGGUGUCACAAAGAAAAAAUUAAAUGAGAUAAGACACCAUGGUUGGGAUGCUCUUUUGGAAGAGACCAAGGAUUUUUGUCUCAAGCAUAAUAUUGUUGUGCCGGAUAUGUCAGCGGAAAUAGUUAGAAGAGGAUGUUUUAGAAGAGAAUGUUCUAGAGGCCGUAGAGGACAGUUGGUUACUUAUUAUGAGCAUCUUCAUCAUGAAACAUUCAAUGUGGUGUUGGAUCAAAUUAUAGUUGAGUUUAACAAUCAUUUUGCUGAAAGGUCUACUAACUCUUGAGAUGUGUUGCUUGUCUUGAUCCCAGUAAUUCUUUUGCCAAUUAUGAUGAAGAUAAGCUAGUUGAACUUGCUCAAAUUUAUGCUGAUGGCUUCACAGAAUAUGAUUGUGUAGUCCUUAGAGACCAACUUGAUACAUUCAUUACUGAAGCAAGAGAAGAUUCAAGUUUCCUAUCAUGCUGUGAUCUUGGUAAUCUUGCUAUGAAGAUGGUUAAGACAGAUAGACAUACUGUAUUUCCAUUGGUUUAUCGUCUAAUUGAAUUGGUUUUGAUUUUGCCUGUUGCAACUGCAAUGGUAGAAAGAGCAUUUUCAGCAAUGAAAAUCAUCAAGACAGAUUUGCGAAAUAAAAUGGGUGAUGAAUGGUUGAGUCA
Molecule: long non-coding RNA, 2958 nt
Organism: Panicum virgatum (switchgrass)
Lineage: Eukaryota; Viridiplantae; Streptophyta; Magnoliopsida; Poales; Poaceae
Exons: 2
Source: RefSeq, a predicted model, not a curated record